Long non-coding RNA from Salvelinus namaycush (lake trout), 1566 nucleotides. RefSeq lists it as uncharacterized. NCBI's taxonomy places the organism in Eukaryota, Metazoa, Chordata, Actinopteri, Salmoniformes, Salmonidae. The record is from RefSeq and is a predicted model, not a curated record. The transcript is spliced from 3 exons.
GUAGCUGCUACCUUGGCUGGAACUAAUGAGGAUCCAUAAUAAACCCCAGGAAGAGUAGGGUUUACACAACAUUUUAUUUCUGGGUUAAACGAGAUUGCUAUUGUGGUAACAGUAGGUGUACUUUAUAGUUUACAGUUGGUGUAUUUUUGUGGUUAAAGUUGGUAUAUUUUUGUAGUUCAAGUGAUCUGAUUAUUUGUAGUAUUGCAGGAAGUGUGCUGUGGUAUGAGUUUUGGGAGUAGAUUCCAUGGGAGUUAGAACAAUGAUCCUCCAUGAUGUCACCUGCUGCGUCCUCUCAGGUACCUCAGUGGUGAUCAUUGUGUGUGUGAGUCUGGCUGUGUUGGUGUUUGCUGUCAUCCCCCUCAUGUUCUACAGGAGCUGGCAAAGCAGCAAGGAUCUAGGUGAGAUAUCAUAUAUAUCACACACACACACACACAGAGUUAUAAUAUACAGUCUAUUGUGUGUUUCACAGGGUCAAUCUCGAACAGGCCUGAUGCAGACACAGGAAGCACUGAAGAGGUUAAUGAUGAGGAAGAUGGUGAGGAUGAAGAAAAUGUAACUUCCACCCACAAUGCAGUGGCCCCUCAGCCCGUGUCUACCGCUGACCCAGAAUGCAUUGCUCAUGACCCCGCCCUCUACCAAUCAGCCUUUUAAGCACUCAACCCUAAAGCAUUGGACCAGAACCUCAACAAUGUCACAACUACUGACUCCUGAUAGACUCUGCAGCACAGAGAUCCUAUUAAAAUCUGACUAACAUUGGAAUUACAUUUGAAUAUGUAAUGAAGUUCUAAUAUGUCAUUAGAUUCUAAUAUGUCAUUCUAUGCUCUGUAUGCUGAAGAGAAGAGGUCACCUGACCCUCUGGUUUUGACCCACAAGUGCUAUCGUUACCAGAGCUGGGGUCCAAUUGAAUAGAAUUCAAUUAAAUUCAUAAAAAUAAUCACAAUUCAAUUGAUCAUUGAUGACCAUCAUUUUCCAUGUGGAAUUUCCCUUCACUUCCUGAAUUGACUGAGUUGAAACAUGUAGUUUAUGAGACUGUAACCUCGUCCCCCAGGAUCAACAGAGAGAGAGACGACUGGUGGUGGAGAUUAUAGUAGAUUUAUUCAUCAGUACUGAUACCAGUCUGUAGGGGGCGAUGUGGAGGUCGUUCUGUUGGUUUACUGAGAUCUCAGUAGCUUGUCUGUUAUGUGGUGACAUCAUUCAUUAAGGGGGGUUUGGGUUGUAGAGGAGGGAUGUUUCUUCUGUUCAGAAACUCAUCUGUUGAGUUGAUCAUUUACAAAGACUGUAUUUGGAUCAAUGACAUGUCAGAAAAAUGUAAUAAAAUAUAUUGAUGUGUACUUUAACUAUAAUGUCAUCAUCUCAACAAUGUGUUCCUCCUCUGCUGAAACAUGGUAACUUUAGUUUUCACACUUAGUCACCACACCUAGCUGAGUUCUCUUGUGGUUUAGAAAUCUAUCCUCCGGCCGGUUUGAACCAGUUUCACUCUGCAGCACAUAUAGACCUGCAGACACUGAGCUCACUACAGAGAAAUUAGGAUGUGCAGGCUAAUGCCCAGCCCUUCAUGACCACCAU